Molecule: long non-coding RNA, 898 nt
Organism: Mauremys reevesii (Reeves's turtle)
Lineage: Eukaryota; Metazoa; Chordata; Testudines; Geoemydidae
Exons: 3
Source: RefSeq, a predicted model, not a curated record
ACCCAGUACUGGGUCACGGUGGCUCUGGUCCACAUCACCAACCGCACUAUUAAGAGUCCCGUCAGCGGUGCUGCCCAGCUAAGGCAGGCUAGUCCCUACCUGUUUGACACCACGCUACUCCCCAGAAGCGGCCAGCAACAGGUCUGUCUCCUAGGCAGAGUGCGCCCACAGGUCUACACACGCUGCCCCCACCUGAGCAGCAGCUCCACAGUCCCAGUGUCCAGGACCAGCCAAUGGGAACUGGGAUAGCCAGUGCCUAUGUGCAAAAGCCAUGCGGAGCCACUUGCGUGCCUCCUCCUAGGUGCCGGACCUGCUGCUGGCCACUUCCAGGGCGCAGCGCAGUCUGCGAUGUCAGGACAGUCAGGAAGCCUGCCACAGCACCUCCACUGCACUGCUGACCAGGAGCCGUCUGAGGGAUCUUUUUCAGGGUUUCCAAUUGGCUGUCUGUUUCCUGGGCCCCUGCAGCACACCUGCCCCUUCCACCCAGCCAGCAGGAUCUGACCCGGCACCCAAGGCCUGCUCAACAGGCAACAUAUGCUUCACUCCAGCUGAGAAUUCCAGCCAGUCACCUGUUUUUCUUCCACUUCUCUGCAGGUGUAUAAAUGUGCAGCAACCAGAGCAUUGCCCUGGAGUCUUUGAGGGAGUGGAGCAAGUCAAUGUUAACACUGAAGAGCUUCAGCCUUCAAACAAGGUCUUCAACAGUAUUCUGAAUGCCCCCAGGGAGGCCAGGAGAUUGGAGCCAAGAGCCUCAUUGCAUAACUAUUGCAGUUGUCAUUGACCAGGAGUCCAUGUCGGCAGCAUCGAGGGAGCCCUGGAGGAAAGCUUUAGUAAUCAAUCAAGCCCUCAUUUUGGCAAGUCAUAAUUUCUCCCUUAGAGCUUAUGGCAGGUGUUCAAUAAA